Molecule: long non-coding RNA, 123 nt
Filed under: Prolemur simus (greater bamboo lemur)
Lineage: Eukaryota; Metazoa; Chordata; Mammalia; Primates; Lemuridae
Description: SMAD5 antisense RNA 1 conserved region 3 (ENSPSMG00000000278.1)
Rfam family: SMAD5 antisense RNA 1 conserved region 3
Source: RNAcentral
GUUCUGGGUUUGGUGGCCCUGGAGCAGGGAGCCCGGGCCGGCCGUAGGUGACGAAUGCCUGGACGCCCUGGGCCAGGGCUUUGUCUGGAUUGUAAAGACAACGUUUCCGGGCCAGCUGGAGGG